AUGACGAGUGGAGACCGUAAUAGGGUGUUCUUCCAAACAUAUGCAUCAGCAAGGAGAAAGAGAGAUUUUGUGAAGAGAUUAAAGGAUGAUGGAGGUAAUUGGCUUGAAGCCGAAGAUGUCAGGAAGGCAGUGUUCAGUAUUGGAGACAUAAAGGCCCCGGGACCUGAUGGCCUUCAUGCAAUAUUCUUUAAAAAAUACUGGCAUAUCCUGGGAGACGAGAUCACAAAGGAGGUUCUUCAUGCAAUUAAUUCUAGGGUAAUCCCAGCUGAUUGGAAUGGAACCACGAUUGUCAUGAUACCAAAAACUGAUGGCCUUGAACUGAUAACACAAUUUCGCCCUAUCAAUCUUUGGAGUGUUUCAUAUAAGAUCAUUUCUAAAUUGUUAGCCUUCGGGCUAAAGAGUAUUUUGCCGGAGAUCAUUUCCCCUACGCAAAGUGCCUUUGUCCCAAGAAGAAUGAUCACUGACAAUAUCUUGAUAGCAUAUGAGUGUGUGCAUAAAAUCAAGAACAAAAGGGCUGUUCAGACAGUGGAUUGA
Molecule: ribosomal RNA, 534 nt
Filed under: Triticum aestivum (bread wheat)
Lineage: Eukaryota; Viridiplantae; Streptophyta; Magnoliopsida; Poales; Poaceae
Description: partial small subunit ribosomal RNA
Source: RNAcentral